CCUACGGGUGGCAGCAGUGAGGAAUAUUGGUCAAUGGACGAGAGUCUGAACCAGCCAAGUAGCGUGAAGGAUGACUGCCCUAUGGGUUGUAAACUUCUUUUAUAUGGGAAUAAAACGUUCCACGUGUGGGAUUUUGUAUGUACCAUAUGAAUAAGGAUCGGCUAACUCCGUGCCAGCAGCCGCGGGAAUACGGAGGAUCCGAGCGUUAUCCGGAUUUAUUGGGUUUAAAGGGAGCGUAGGUGGAUUGUUAAGUCAGUUGUGAAAGUUUGCGGCUCAACCGUAAAAUUGCAGGUGAUACUGGCAGUCUUGAGUACAGUAGAGGUGGGCGGAAUUCGUGGUGUAGCGGUGAAAUGCUUAGAUAUCACGAAGAACUCCGAUUGCGAAGGCAGUUCACUGGACUGCAACUGACACUGAGGCUCGAAAGUGUGGGUAUCAAACAGGAUUAGAUACCCUAGUAGUC
RNAcentral lists this ribosomal RNA (460 nucleotides) under uncultured bacterium. RNAcentral describes it as "partial 16S ribosomal RNA". It matches the Rfam family "Bacterial small subunit ribosomal RNA", at positions 338 to 795 of the family's 1533-position model. The record is from RNAcentral.